Molecule: ribosomal RNA, 465 nt
Filed under: uncultured bacterium
Lineage: Bacteria
Description: partial 16S ribosomal RNA
Rfam family: Bacterial small subunit ribosomal RNA
Source: RNAcentral
CCUACGGGAGGCAGCAGUGGGGAAUCUUGCGCAAUGGGCGAAAGCCUGACGCAGCGACGCCGCGUGGGUGAUGAAGGCCUUCGGGUCGUAAAGCCCUGUCGGGUGGAACGAAUCCCCUGGUGGCGAAUACCUGCCAGGGUUGACGGUACCACCGAAGGAAGCUCCGGCUAACUACGUGCCAGCAGCCGCGGUAAUACGUAGGGAGCGAGCGUUGUUCGGAUUUACUGGGCGUAAAGCGCGCGUAGGCGGCCGGGUAAGUCGGGUGUGAAAGCCCUCGGCUUAACCGAGGAUCCGCGCUCGAAACUGCCAGGCUUGAGUCUAGGAGAGGAGAGCGGAAUUCCCAGUGUAGCGGUGAAAUGCGUAGAUAUUGGGAGGAACACCGUUGGCGAAGGCGGCUCUCUGGACUAGUACUGACGCUGAGGCGCGAAAGCUAGGGGAGCAAACGGGAUUAGAUCCCCCUGUAGU